UACAGAGGGUGCAAGCGUUAAUCGGAAUUACUGGGCGUAAAGCGCGCGUAGGCGGCUGUCUAAGUCGGAUGUGAAAUCCCCGGGCUUAACCUGGGAACUGCAUUCAAAACUGACGAGCUAGAGUAUGGUAGAGGGUGGUGGAAUUUCCUGUGUAGCGGUGAAAUGCGUAGAGAUCCGGAGGAACACCAAAGGCGAAGGCAGUGUCCUGGGGAGUACCUGACGCUCAGGUGCGAAAGCCAGGGGAGCGAACGGG
RNAcentral lists this ribosomal RNA (253 nucleotides) under uncultured bacterium. Its description in RNAcentral is "partial 16S ribosomal RNA". It matches the Rfam family "Bacterial small subunit ribosomal RNA", at positions 524 to 776 of the family's 1533-position model. The record is from RNAcentral.